GAGAAACCUGGUCAGACAUUGAGGCGAUCGGAUGUUGAUGUUGCUGGUUCUUGGUAAAACGACUUAGCUAGUGUCCUUUGCUAAAACUGGAUUUUACAAGGACGUGCACAAACAGGCCUAGCAGGAGAUUCAGAAGCCUGACUAAAAUUUGGCCAAGGAAAAAAAUCCUUGUCACCAGGAAAGUGAGGACUAUUGUCACCAAAUUCAGACUGCCAAUUGUUAAACAUUUACCUGCACAUACUGGGCUCAUCUUCAUUAUUGGUAAAAUGAGCUAGAUGCUAUUUUCCAUUAGCUCACACUCCAAUUCCAAUCGACCUGACCAUCAGAAGAGACAAAAAGGGAAAAUCCUGGCCAGUUCUCCCCUACCUGAUCAACCAGUAGCAUAAUCAGAUUUGCAAGACCUCAAGAAAAGAAACCUGAAAAUGCCACUGGAGGUGUGUGUUUUGCCAAAGAAAAAAGAAUCAAAAACAAAACCUGCAGGAUGAGGACAAACAAACAAAGAGCAGGGACAGAGUCUCACUAUGUUGACACCCUGGACAACACUCUUGAAGUACUCUUUUCCCAGGGAGGACACAGUCAUGGCAUGCAAGGUAAAGGGCAACCUUUUGCUGAAGUGGCACUGAGACACGCCUAUCUCCUUUUCACAGGUUCCUCUCUGGCAUCAGACAGUGAUGUCUAAUCUCUCUAACGAAUUAGUCAUCCCUGUCUCUGCCACCAUAUCCUUGGAUGUGCAGGAAAAGGAAACUAGAGGUGUGUGGCAGGGAGAGAAUGAGAAAAAUCAGGAAGAGGAGAAAAUAAUAUAAUCUGACACCACAGUCUAGAGCUUUUCCUUGAAAUCCCACUCCAACCAGAAGGGAAAUUUAAGUGGGCAUGUGGUGGAAAGUAAAAUGUAAACAUUAUCCCAACAUGUUCUUCAACAGUUUUGAAAUAGAAGGGCCAUGCCUGUGACUAAAGGCACCAUCAUGAUAAUGAUACCAGUUAAUAGCUACCAAUUACUGAAUGCUUACUAUGUACAAAAAACUGUACUGAUUGCUUUAUAUUUUUUAUUUCUAACCAGGAAGGUAAGGGUUACAAACAACCUUACCUUGUCAUCUCAUUUUAUAGACGAGAUACCGAUCCUCAGAGAAUCUAAGUGAUUUGCUCAGGUUCACAGUUAGUAAGUGGUAAAGCAAGGAACUGAGGUGUCGGGGCUCACAACAUGAUAACCCAAAAUAAUGGCACCUUGGCACAGUGAGUAUUUUAAACAGCAGGAAAUUGAAAAAACAGCAGAAGCAGGAAGGCUGCUCUCUGACCUUUUCCCACCUUUUUCUCCUGAGAGCUGGCCAUGAAAGAAUUCUCUGACCUACUUCCCCUGAAAGUAGGUCAUAAGACCCUCAUUCCAGAGGGGUCCUGCCCUAUACCCAGAGGGAAGGAAUGUCACACCGAGGCUGAAAGGAAUCUGAACAAAUAGGCCUCGCUGAGUUCCCCAGAUUAUUACUAUUAGAUCACACUCUUUUGUCCUCCAAUUACACUUCUGCACAACUGUCCCUAAACACACAUGGUUUUCCCUGGGUCCUUGGGGCUUCGUUUUCUGAAGGUUUCUGUGUCACUGAAAACUUACAUUAAAUAUAACUUUUAUACUUUUCCCAUUUAAUCUUUUUUUUUUUUCUUUUUAUUUGUUAUAGGGGCUCAGCCAUGAACCUUGUGAUGGAUGAGGAAAAGAUAUUCUUUUUCUCCCCUUACAGUUUCUGGCAGCCAACAUGGGGUGGCUGUGACACCCCACUAGUUCCAGAACCUGCAGAUGAGAUCCUGGGACAACCAAUAAAAAAACAACAAAAA
This is a long non-coding RNA of Homo sapiens (human), 1818 nucleotides long. RefSeq lists it as uncharacterized. Lineage: Eukaryota; Metazoa; Chordata; Mammalia; Primates; Hominidae. The transcript is spliced from 3 exons. The record is from RefSeq and is a predicted model, not a curated record.